UCCGCCAUGGUGUAAGCGGCAGCACAGGGUCUUUUGGUGGCCUUUGUCCGGGUUCGAGUCCUGGUGGCGGAG
RNAcentral lists this transfer RNA (72 nucleotides) under Streptomyces mesophilus. Its description in RNAcentral is "tRNA-Gln". It matches the Rfam family "tRNA". From Rfam's summary of the family: Transfer RNA (tRNA) molecules are approximately 80 nucleotides in length. Their secondary structure includes four short double-helical elements and three loops (D, anti-codon, and T loops). The record is from RNAcentral. RNAcentral also lists the same sequence under 1 other name. Lineage: Bacteria; Bacillati; Actinomycetota; Actinomycetes; Kitasatosporales; Streptomycetaceae.